This 258-nucleotide unclassified non-coding RNA is filed under the name plant metagenome. RNAcentral's name for it is "partial contains small subunit ribosomal RNA, internal transcribed spacer 1, and 5.8S ribosomal RNA". The stretch from base 1 to 54 matches the Rfam family "Eukaryotic small subunit ribosomal RNA", at positions 1778 to 1831 of the family's 1831-position model. The record is from RNAcentral.
AGAAGUAAAAGUCGUAACAAGGUUUCCGUAGGUGAACCUGCGGAAGGAUCAUUACUGAGUGAGGGCCCCUCGGAGUCCAACCUCCCACCCGUGUUUAACGAACCUUGUUGCUUCGGCGGGCCCGCCUCACGGCCGCCGGGGGGCAUCUGCCCCCGGGCCCGCGCCCGCCGAAGCCACCUGUGAACGCUGUCUGAAGUAUGCAGUCUGAGACAAUUAUUAAAUUAAUUAAAACUUUCAACAACGGAUCUCUUGGUUCCG